RNAcentral lists this ribosomal RNA (497 nucleotides) under uncultured bacterium. RNAcentral's name for it is "partial 16S ribosomal RNA". It matches the Rfam family "Bacterial small subunit ribosomal RNA", at positions 28 to 507 of the family's 1533-position model. The record is from RNAcentral.
GAUGAACGCUGGCGGCGUGCCUAAUACAUGCAAGUCGAGCGAACGGACGAGAAGCUUGCUUCUCUGAUGUUAGCGGCGGACGGGUGAGUAACACGUGGAUAACCUACCUAUAAGACUGGGAUAACUUCGGGAAACCGGAGCUAAUACCGGAUAAUAUUUUGAACCGCAUGGUUCAAAAGUGAAAGACGGUCUUGCUGUCACUUAUAGAUGGAUCCGCGCUGCAUUAGCUAGUUGGUAAGGUAACGGCUUACCAAGGCAACGAUGCAUAGCCGACCUGAGAGUGUGAUCGGCCACACGGGAACUGAGACACGGUCCAGACUCCUACGGGAGGCAGCAGUAGGGAAUCUUCCGCAAUGAGCGAAAGCCUGACGGAGCAACGCCGCGUGAGUGAUGAAGGUCUUCGGAUCGUAAAACUCUGUUAUUAGGGAAGAACAUAUGUGUAAGUAACUGUGCACAUCUUGACGGUACCUAAUCAGAAAGCCACGGCUAACUACGUG